This 97-nucleotide ribosomal RNA is filed under the name Rhodococcus erythropolis. Lineage: Bacteria; Bacillati; Actinomycetota; Actinomycetes; Mycobacteriales; Nocardiaceae. The record is from RNAcentral.
CGCUCCGCCCGGUCCCAUUCCGAACCCGGAAGCUAAGCCCUUCAGCGCCGAUGGUACUGCACUCGACAGGGUGUGGGAGAGUAGGACACCGCCGAAC